Molecule: ribosomal RNA, 507 nt
Filed under: Alternaria arborescens
Lineage: Eukaryota; Fungi; Ascomycota; Dothideomycetes; Pleosporales; Pleosporaceae
Description: eukaryotic LSU rRNA
Rfam family: 5.8S ribosomal RNA (bases 136-289)
Source: RNAcentral
GGGGUUACAGCCUUGCUGAAUUAUUCACCCUUGUCUUUUGCGUACUUCUUGUUUCCUUGGUGGGUUCGCCCACCACUAGGACAAACAUAAACCUUUUGUAAUUGCAAUCAGCGUCAGUAACAAAUUAAUAAUUACAACUUUCAACAACGGAUCUCUUGGUUCUGGCAUCGAUGAAGAACGCAGCGAAAUGCGAUAAGUAGUGUGAAUUGCAGAAUUCAGUGAAUCAUCGAAUCUUUGAACGCACAUUGCGCCCUUUGGUAUUCCAAAGGGCAUGCCUGUUCGAGCGUCAUUUGUACCCUCAAGCUUUGCUUGGUGUUGGGCGUCUUGUCUCUAGCUUUGCUGGAGACUCGCCUUAAAGUAAUUGGCAGCCGGCCUACUGGUUUCGGAGCGCAGCACAAGUCGCACUCUCUAUCAACAAAGGUCUAGCAUCCAUUAAGCCGUUUUUUCAACUUUUGACCUCGGAUCAGGUAGGGAUACCCGCUGAAGUUAACCAUAUCAGUAAACGGA